This 119-nucleotide ribosomal RNA is filed under the name Cercocebus atys (sooty mangabey). The record is from RNAcentral. Lineage: Eukaryota; Metazoa; Chordata; Mammalia; Primates; Cercopithecidae.
NUCUACGGCCAUACCACCCUGAAUGCGCCCGAUCUCGUCUAAUCUUUGAAGCUUAAGCAAGGUCGGGCCUGGUUAGUACUUGGAUGGGAAAAUGCCUGGGAAGAAUGGGAUGGUAGGCU